This 246-nucleotide ribosomal RNA is filed under the name uncultured bacterium. RNAcentral describes it as "partial 16S ribosomal RNA". It matches the Rfam family "Bacterial small subunit ribosomal RNA", at positions 15 to 244 of the family's 1533-position model. The record is from RNAcentral.
GAUCCUGGCUCAGGACGAACGCUGGCGGCGUGCCUAACACAUGCAAGUCGAACGGAGAAUUUUAUUUCGGUAGAAUUCUUAGUGGCGAACGGGUGAGUAACGCGUAGGCAACCUGCCCUUUAGACGGGGACAACAUUCCGAAAGGAGUGCUAAUACCGGAUGUGAUCAUCGUGCCGCACGGCAGGAUGAAGAAAGAUGGCCUCUACAAGUAAGCUAUCGCUAAAGGAUGGGCCUGCGUCUGAUUAG